This 439-nucleotide ribosomal RNA is filed under the name Lygodactylus madagascariensis. RNAcentral's name for it is "partial 16S ribosomal RNA". It matches the Rfam family "Bacterial large subunit ribosomal RNA", at positions 1980 to 2597 of the family's 2925-position model. The record is from RNAcentral. Lineage: Eukaryota; Metazoa; Chordata; Lepidosauria; Squamata; Gekkonidae.
UUGAGGACUAGUAUGAACGGCUAAAUGAGGGCCCCCCUGUCUCCUGCGACCAAUCAAUGAAUUUGAUCCUUCAGUACAAAAGCUGAGAUACACACAUAAGACGAAAAGACCCUAUGGAGCUUUAAGCCAUUAUACUACCUAACCACAGCCCCCUUUCCACCCCCCUAGUAUAUACUUUCAGUUGGGGCAACUACGGAGCAAAACAAAAACUCCACGAACAAACGUCUAAUACACGCAGUAUUUUAGGCUGCCACGCCACACACCCCAGACCUUAGACCCAGUCUAACUGAGCAACGGACCAAGUUACCCUAGGGAUAACAGCGCCAUCUUCCCCCCAGAGCCCAUAUCCACGGGGAGGCUUACGACCUCGAUGUUGGAUCAGGACCCCCCGGCGGUGCAGCCGCUGCCAAAGGUUCGUUUGUUCAACGACUAACGUCCU